UACGGGGGGAGCAAGCGUUGUUCGGAUUUACUGGGCGUAAAGGGCGCGUAGGCGGCGUGUCAAGUCACUUGUGAAAUCUCCGGGCUUAACUCGGAACGGUCAAGUGAUACUGUCGUGCUAGAGUACAGAAGGGGCAACUGGAAUUCUCGGUGUAGCGGUGAAAUGCGUAGAUAUCGAGAGGAACACCUGCGGCGAAGGCGGGUUGCUGGGCUGAUACUGACGCUGAGGCGCGAAAGCCAGGUGAGCGAAUGGG
Molecule: ribosomal RNA, 253 nt
Filed under: uncultured bacterium
Lineage: Bacteria
Description: partial 16S ribosomal RNA
Rfam family: Bacterial small subunit ribosomal RNA
Source: RNAcentral